GACGAACGCUGGCGGCGUGCUUAACACAUGCAAGUCGAACGGAAAGGCCCUGCUUUUGUGGGGUGCUCGAGUGGCGAACGGGUGAGUAACACGUGAGUAACCUGCCCUUGACUUUGGGAUAACUUCAGGAAACUGGGGCUAAUACCGGAUAGGAGCUCCUGCUGCAUGGCGGGGGUUGGAAAGUUUCGGCGGUUGGGGAUGGACUCGCGGCUUAUCAGCUUGUUGGUGGGGUAGUGGCUUACCAAGGCUUUGACGGGUAGCCGGCCUGAGAGGGUGACCGGCCACAUUGGGACUGAGAUACGGCCCAGACUCCUACGGGAGGCAGCAGUGGAGAAUAUUGCACAAUGGGCGGAAGCCUAAUGCAGCAACGCCGCGUGCGGGAUGACGGCCUUCGGGUUGUAAACCGCUUUCGCCUGAGACGAAGCGUGAGUGACGGUAAUAAGUAAAGAAGCACCGGCUAACUACGUG
Molecule: ribosomal RNA, 468 nt
Filed under: uncultured bacterium
Lineage: Bacteria
Description: partial 16S ribosomal RNA
Rfam family: Bacterial small subunit ribosomal RNA
Source: RNAcentral